This 3194-nucleotide long non-coding RNA is filed under the name Nicotiana tabacum (common tobacco). Its description in RNAcentral is "long non-coding RNA (NTAB_LNC018248)". The record is from RNAcentral. Lineage: Eukaryota; Viridiplantae; Streptophyta; Magnoliopsida; Solanales; Solanaceae.
AAAGCUGAUAUUCUUCAGGCUUUGGACUCAAUAUAGGCUGUCUCUCCUGCAACGCAGUUCCCUUUUCUUUUGCUUUCUUUCUACUCCUCUAGCUUUUAUUCUUUGAACUUCUGUGUCAUCUCCUAUUGUUGAGUUAUUUGGACAAUCCUGAAAGUGUAAUGAAAGGAUCAUCAAACAGGUAGGUGAUCAAUCAAUUUGAUGUGUUUUAUUGUUUUUUAAUUAGCGUCAUUUGGUUUGUUGAUUCUCCAGAGUUUGCUGUAAUACUAGGUAGGAGGAAAACCAUCAUACUUGCCAACCAUCGAUGAACUGAUCGGAUUAACCAAUUAAAGUUGGCUUCAGUCAUUAUGAAAGCACAUGUUUAGGUACUUGUCUUAGCAACACGAGAAAACCAUUAAACUGAUUUUUGGAAUUAAUUUCUCAAAUAAAUAUAUAAGGAAAGGUCCCUAUACAGCCAAGCAUUGAAAAGUUAAGACCACACCAGCUUGCCGCUUGGAUGUUGGAAGUUUGAAGCUUGCCAAAAUUCCAAGAAGUGUUUGAUGCUAGGUGGUUUAAACAAGACAUUAUGAAAGAAGAUGCCAGGCGCUAAGUGUUCCCUUUGCACAUUUUAAUCUGCUGUAAGUUAAUGAAGCCAGAUCUAUGGGCCAGGAAUCCGAAAGAUCUAUGGGCCAGGAAUCUAAACAAGCUCAAGAAAGUUAGAUAAAAGAAAGAUAAUUAACAUAUGUGGUUGCCCACAAUUCGAACCUCCCCAGGUAAAGCCGGCCUCAAAUUAAAGUAAACCAGCAAAGCUUAACGAGUUCGUUGACCCAAAUUCAUUCAAGGACUAAAGUAGCGUAGGCAUUUCAAAACUCAUUUAAGGAUUGUGUCAGCUUGAAUUAAAACUACUACUCCAAAUUAAACCACUGUAAGCAAAUUUAAAUAUUAAAAUAAAAUUUGAAAAGGCAAAUAUAUAUAUAGUCCAUAUCAGAGUCUUAAGGUUUCUGUUCAAUUAUGGAGCUACACAAUAGUGUACUUACAUAAGUUAGGAAAGACAAGAAAUGGAAUUUUUUUUUGGCUGAAUACAUAUACAGCCCUUCAACUUGGCACCAUUUUUCAUUUUGGCACUCUAUCUCAACCUUGUUCCAUUUUGGCCCUCCAACCCUAUUUCUUAUAUUUUACUUUAACACAAAAGCUGACCAGUCACAUAGCGUGAGUUGCCUCAUAUGGUAGGCGCGUGAGGCAGAUUUUUUUUUGGGGGCAAAAUUCCUUCUAAUUACUAUUGGCCCCAUAUUUAAUUCCCCAACUUCCUUCCCCAUUAUUUCAUCUUUAUUAUUUCCUUUCCCAUUUAUUGUUAUCCCAUUGUCAUUCUCAAAGUUCCAAAUCUUUCAUCUGCCGAUUUCAUACCUGGCCAUCCAUAAAGCUUCAAACUUUUGCAAUUUUGUUGUUCGUUUAUUUAAUCUGAUUAAUUUUUUUGUGAGUUUAUUUCAUAGGACCGCUACGUAGUAAAUUGUAGAAGAAUGAACUUUUUAAGCUUCUGAUUGACAUGCCUUAAACAAUAACAAACACAAAAAGUUUCAGAUUGUUAAAAAGGUCUCAAACACCAGAUGCCAAAGUUCCAUUCUUUACACAAAACCAAUUCUUGCAAGAACUAAAUAAAGUUCAAAUAAAGCACAAAUCAGCUACCAAACAGCAUAAUACUUCAGCUGCCAGGGGCCGAAGUUUCAUUCUUUACACAAAACUAACUCUUUUAAAAUACACAACUUAAGUUUGCAACUUUCAGAAGUAACAAAGCUGCCAAAAGCCAACAACAAUUAAAACUGCUCUUCAAAUCAAUCUCGAAUGUUGAUGAAUAUGAAGAAAUAGUUGAUGAAAUGUGAUUCUCGUCUUCAAAUGAUGAAGAAAUCACCGAUAAUCGAUGGGUUUAUCAUGUGCGAUUAUGAAUUUGGGAAGGAGCUUAGGGUACUAUUAGUCAAGUAGGGAUUUGUGACAGAGAGAAAAUAAGAAGCGGCUUUAAUUUUACCCAAAUUCGGUCGGAUUCGGGUCUUUUAGCAUUGACCCGUUCGACAUGGAUGAAAACAAAAUAGGUGGCAACAUUUAAUUGGAUAUUUAUUACAUCUCAGAUUUGUAUAUACACACGCGUUAUAUUGUUUGCACUGGUUUCAACUUUUGUGUUAAAACGAAACAUAAGAAAUACGGUUGAAAGAUCAAAAUGGAACAAAGUUGAAAUAGAGUGAUAAAAUGAAAAAUGUUGUUUAUGUAUUUGGCAUCCUUUUUUUUUUUUUGGAAGUUUGGUGAGUUAGAUUAUGACUCACUACUCAAACCAUUUUGAUUGAACAAACUUUGUACUACUAACUAGAUUAUGACCUAUACAUUAUUUUCGUUUUACUUAUAGAAAUAAUUUUAACUCCAGCAAUUUUUUUGACACUCCUGAAUUGGUGUGACAUGACAAAUGUGAUAAAUGAUGUAGCGAAAAUAGAAACGUGGGUCGCCCCGUUUGAGAGGACAAAAACACAGCUAAACUGCCAGGACAGUUCUUGAAUUGAAUCUCCAUUUGAAUACAAUGAAUAUUCUUUCAUGCACAUAAAAAGACAGUACGAAUUUCCCAAGUUGACUUUCCAAUACACGAAGCAUCUGCCAUUCUGCCUUUUGGUUUCCUUUUGAAUACUCAGAUGCUUCUUUUUUACUUAAAAAAAAAAAAACAAAUUUCCGAACACUAAUUUGAGUUUGCUAAAAAAAAGAUUCCCAACUCCAUUGCAAGCCUGCAACUUGCCCAAGGAAUAAACAAUUUUUUUACUAUUUUUCGCAUCUGGGUAUCAUUCAUAGUUAUCUUUAUUGGAUUAUAUUCUUAAAAUCCAAAAAGCAAAUCAAAAAAAGCCAAAAAAUAUAAUCACUGCGUUUACCACUACUACUCUCCCCUUUGUAUCUUUCAAUAAAAUAUUCGUAACGUCUUUUGUUCUUUCAUCACAUGAUCACAUCAGAUUAUUCCCAAUAAAAGCAUUCGAUCAGUUGUUUAAUUCCAACUAAGUGAAAUUGAUUGUUUUGUGUUUGAGAAAAAAAAACUGAGUGAUCAAUCUUGUUAUGAAAUUCGGGAAAGAAUUUACAACGCAUUUAGAAGAAACCCUACCCGAAUGGAGGGACAAGUAUUUGUGCUACAAGCCCUUGAAGAAGCUUCUCAAGCACCACCUCCGUUCUAGCCCUGCUACCGGCGAUAAUCUUCC